AGUGAACGCUGGCGGUAGGCCUAACACAUGCAAGUCGAACGGCAGCACAGUAAGAGCUUGCUCUUACGGGUGGCGAGUGGCGGACGGGUGAGGAAUACAUCGGAAUCUACUUUUUCGUGGGGGAUAACGUAGGGAAACUUACGCUAAUACCUCAUACGACCUACGGGUGAAAGCAGGGGAUCUUCGGACCUUGCGCGAUUGAAUGAGCCGAUGUCGGAUUAGCUAGUUGGCGGGGUAAAGGCCCACCAAGGCGACGAUCCGUAGCUGGCCUGAGAGGAUGAUCAGCCACACUGGAACUGAGACACGGCCCAGACUCCUACGGGAGGCAGCAGUGGGGAAUAUUGGACAAUGGGCGCAAGCCUGAUCCAGCCAUACCGCGUGGGUGAAGAAGGCCUUCGGGUUGUAAAGCCCUUUUGUUGGGAAAGAAAAGCAGCAGGUUAAUACCCCGCUGUUCUGACGGUACCCAAAGAAUAAGCACCGGCUAACUUCGUG
RNAcentral lists this ribosomal RNA (492 nucleotides) under uncultured bacterium. RNAcentral's name for it is "partial 16S ribosomal RNA". It matches the Rfam family "Bacterial small subunit ribosomal RNA", at positions 29 to 507 of the family's 1533-position model. The record is from RNAcentral.